RNAcentral lists this ribosomal RNA (450 nucleotides) under uncultured bacterium. RNAcentral describes it as "partial 16S ribosomal RNA". It matches the Rfam family "Bacterial small subunit ribosomal RNA", at positions 354 to 796 of the family's 1533-position model. The record is from RNAcentral.
GUGGGGAAUAUUCCGCAAUGGACGAAAGUCUGACGGAGCAACGCCGCGUGAGUGAUGAAGGUUUUCGGACUGUAAAGCUCUGUUGUUUAGGACGAAAGUGCCUGUUGCAAAUAGUUACAGGUAUUGACGGUACUGAACGAGGAAGCCACGGCUAACUACGUGCCAGCAGCCGCGGUAAUACGUAGGUGGCAAGCGUUGUCCGGAAUUAUUGGGCGUAAAGAGCAUGUAGGCGGGAAUCUAAGGCGGUUGUGAAAAUGCGGGGCUCAACCCCGUAUUGCGAUGGAAACUGGGUUUCUUGAGUGCAGGAGAGGAAAGGGGAAUUCCCAGUGUAGCGGUGAAAUGCGUAGAUAUUGGGAGGAACACCAGUGGCGAAGGCGCCUUUCUGGACUGUGUCUGACGCUGAGAUGCGAAAGCCAGGGUAGCGAACGGGAUUAGAUACCCUAGUAGUCC